AUGAGAGACCUUCUUAAGUAUUGGAAAAGAAGGGGCCUGCUGAUAGAGCUGGGCAGGGAGGCGGUACUAGUUAUCAGGUCAGAGAGAGGCAUGGCCCGUAAGCUGGCCCCCUUUAAAAGCCAUUCCUUAUUAAUAAGGAUUUUUUACGUGCAAUAUGCGGACGACUUACUACUGGGAAUCCUGGGUGCUGUAUUUCUUCUCAUAGAAAUACAAAAACGUAUCACCCACUUCCUACAAUCCGGUCUGAACCUUUGGGUAGGCUCCACAGGAUCAACAACCAUAGCUGCACGGAGUAUGGUAGAAUUCCCCGGUACGGUCAUUCGGGAAGUCCCCCCGAGGACGACUCCCAUACAAUUCUUGCGAGAUCUGGAGAAGCGUCUACGGGUAAAGCACCGUAUACAUAUAACUGCCUGCCACCUACGCUCCGCCAUCCAUUCCAAGUUUAGGGACCUAGGUUAUAGUCCUAUCAAAGAGCUGACGAAGGGGAUGAGCAGAAGAGGUUGUCUACUAGACGCGGUUCAACUAGCGUAGACUCUUGGAAAAGAUGGACUAAAACAUCCCGAAGUUAGUGUAUUAUGGGGGACCGUCAAGCACAUCAGGCAAAGAUCAAGGGGGAUCUUGUUGUUGCAUAGCUCAGGUAGGAGCAAGGUGCCAUCAGGCGUUCAACAGGCAUUCUCAUGAUCGGGCAUGAGUGUCCUGAAGAAGAAAUUGUAUACUCCCUUUGGUCGGAAGGCGGCGGGGGAAGGAAGGGGACACUGGGAGCGAUCUUUCAGCAGCAAAUUCCCCAUACAGAUAGAGGCGCCUAUCAAAAAGAUACUCUAAAGGUUUCGGGAUCGACGUCUCAUUAGCCGAAGAAGACCCCGGCCAAUCCACGUGGCCUCUUUAACCAACGUCAAUGAAAGAGACAUAGUAAAUUGGUCCGCGGGCAUCGCGAUAAGUCCUCUGUCCUACUACAGGUGCUGCGACAACCUUUACCAAGUCUGAACGAUUGUCAACUACCAGAUCGGCUGGUCACUAUAUUCACCAUAG
This 1029-nucleotide ribosomal RNA is filed under the name Triticum aestivum (bread wheat). RNAcentral describes it as "partial small subunit ribosomal RNA". Lineage: Eukaryota; Viridiplantae; Streptophyta; Magnoliopsida; Poales; Poaceae. The record is from RNAcentral.